AUUGAACGCUGGCGGCAGGCUUAACACAUGCAAGUCGAACGAGUGGCGGACGGGUGAGUAAUGUAUGGGAAACUGCCUGAUGGAGGGGGAUAACUACUGGAAACGGUAGCUAAUACCGCAUACCAUCAGAUGUGCCCAGAUGGGCUUAGCUAGUUGGUGGGGUAACGGCUCACCAAGGCAACGAUCCGUAACUGGUCUGAGGGGAUGGUCAGUCGCACUGGAACUGAGACACGGUCCAGACUCCUACGGGAGGCAGCAGUUGGGAAUAUGGGACAAUGGGCGAAAGCCUGGUCCAGCCAUGCCGCGUGUGUGAAGAAGGUCUUCGGAUUGUAAAGCACUUUAAGUUGGGAGGCGUUACCAACAGAAUAAGCACCGGCUAACUCCGUGCCAGCAGCCGCGGUAAUUC
RNAcentral lists this ribosomal RNA (406 nucleotides) under uncultured bacterium. RNAcentral's name for it is "partial 16S ribosomal RNA". It matches the Rfam family "Bacterial small subunit ribosomal RNA", at positions 30 to 526 of the family's 1533-position model. The record is from RNAcentral.